This is a non-coding RNA of Ceratotherium simum simum (southern white rhinoceros), 100 nucleotides long. The record is from RefSeq and is a predicted model, not a curated record. Lineage: Eukaryota; Metazoa; Chordata; Mammalia; Perissodactyla; Rhinocerotidae.
GGGCCUCGGGUCACACGUAUCAGCUUGACCUCUAAGAGCUGGAGACUAAGGUCAGCCACGUGGGCUGUGAGCCAGUCUAUGUGCUGGACUCCCAGACUCU